UACACACCGCCCGUCACACCAUGGGAGCGGGCUUCACCAGAAGUAGCUAGUCUAACCGCAAGGAGGACGGUUACCACGGUGAGAUUCGUGACUGGGGUG
RNAcentral lists this ribosomal RNA (99 nucleotides) under uncultured bacterium. Its description in RNAcentral is "partial 16S ribosomal RNA". It matches the Rfam family "Bacterial small subunit ribosomal RNA", at positions 1384 to 1482 of the family's 1533-position model. The record is from RNAcentral.